UGGGGAAUAUUGGACAAUGGGCGCAAGCCUGAUCCAGCCAUGCCGCGUGUGUGAUGACGGCCUUAGGGUUGUAAAGCACUUUCGCCGAUGAAGAUAAUGACUGUAGUCGGAGAAGAAGCCCCGGCUAACUUCGUGCCAGCAGCCGCGGUAAUACGAAGGGGGCUAGCGUUGUUCGGAAUUACUGGGCGUAAAGCGUACGUAGGCGGAUCGUUAAGUUAGGGGUGAAAUCCCGAGGCUCAACCUCGGAACUGCCUCUGAUACUGGCGAUCUUGAGUCCGGGAGAGGUGAGUGGAACUCCUAGUGUAGAGGUGAAAUUCGUAGAUAUUAGGAAGAACACCAGUGGCGAAGGCGGCUCACUGGCCCGGAACUGACGCUGAGGUACGAAAGCGUGGGGAGCAAACA
RNAcentral lists this ribosomal RNA (402 nucleotides) under uncultured Kaistia sp. RNAcentral's name for it is "bacterial SSU rRNA". It matches the Rfam family "Bacterial small subunit ribosomal RNA", at positions 355 to 774 of the family's 1533-position model. The record is from RNAcentral. Lineage: Bacteria; Pseudomonadati; Pseudomonadota; Alphaproteobacteria; Hyphomicrobiales; Kaistiaceae.